AAUAGAUACCCUGGUAGUCCACGCCGUAAACGGUGGGCACUAGGUGUGGGCGACAUUCCACGUCGUCCGUGCCGCAGCUAACGCAUUAAGUGCCCCGCCUGGGGAGUACGGCCGCAAGGCUAAAACUCAAAGGAAUUGACGGGGGCCCGCACAAGCGGCGGAGCAUGUGGCUUAAUUCGACGCAACGCGAAGAACCUUACCAAGGCUUGACAUACACCGGAAAACCCUGGAGACAGGGUCCCCCUUGUGGUCGGUGUACAGGUGGUGCAUGGCUGUCGUCAACUCGUGUCGUGAGAUGUUGGGUUAAGUCCCGCAACGAGCGCAACCCUUGUCCCGUGUUGCCAGCAGGCCCUUGUGGUGCUGGGGACUCACGGGAGACCGCCGGGGUCAACUCGGAGGAAGGUGGGGACGACGUCAAGUCAUCAUGCCCCUUAUGUCUUGGGCUGCACACGUGCUACAAUGGCCGGUACAAUGAGCUGCGAUACCGCGAGGUGGAGCGAAUCUCAAAAAGCCGGUCUCAGUUCGGAUUGGGGUCUGCAACUCGA
RNAcentral lists this ribosomal RNA (545 nucleotides) under uncultured bacterium. Its description in RNAcentral is "bacterial SSU rRNA". It matches the Rfam family "Bacterial small subunit ribosomal RNA", at positions 777 to 1315 of the family's 1533-position model. The record is from RNAcentral.